AUGCUUUCACAACUUGACUUCAAAAUAUUUGGUUUGGAGACCAUCAAAGAUCAAUAUGUGCAUGAUGCUGAUUUUAAAGAUGUUUUGCAGAAUUGUAAAGAAGGAAGAACCUGGAACAAGUUUGUCGUUAAUGAUGGAUUUGUGUUCCGUGCUAACAAGCUAUGCAUUCCAGCUAGCUCUCUUCGUCUUUUGUUGUUGCAGGAGGCGCAUGGAGGAGGAUUAAUGGGACACUUUGGCGUGAAGAAGACGGAGGACGUACUUGCUACACAUUUCUUUUGGCCAAAGAUGAGACGGGAUGUUGAGCGGGCUGUUUUGAAGAAUAAUAAGAAAAUGUGGGAAGAAUGCUUGCCUCAUAUUGAGUUUGCUUAUAAUCGUUCAUUGCAUUCUACUACUAAGAUGUGCCCUUUUGAAAUUGUGUAUGGUUUCCUACCUCGUGCACCUAUUGAUUUGUUGCCUCUUCCAUCUUCGGAGAAGGUUAAUUUUGAUGCUAAACAACGUGCUGAAUUGAUCUUAAAAAUGCAUGAGUUAACUAAGGAAAACAUUGAGCGUAUGAAUGCUAAAUAUAAACUUGCUGGAGAUAAGGGUAGAAAACAUGUUGUGUUUGCACCUGGAGAUCUUGUUUGGUUACAUUUGCGUAAGGAUAGAUUUCCUGAUUUGCGCAAAUCAAAGCUAAUGCCACGUGCUGAUGGUCCUUUUAAGGUGUUAGAGAAAAUAAAUGAUAAUGCAUAUAAACUUGAGCUGCCUGCAGAUUUUGGGGUUAGUCCCACUUUUAAUAUUGCAGAUUUGAAGCCUUAUUUGGGUGAGGAAGAUGAGCUUCCGUCGAGGACGACUUCAUUUCAAGAAGGGGAGGAUGAUGAGGACAUCAAUACAAUUAUUACACCCACAGGCCCUACUGCUAUACAUACUGGACCAAUUACUAGAGCUCGCGCACGCCAAUUAAAUUACCAGGAAACAGACCCUCGUGGUCAGGUUGAUCGUGCUCCGGCGUGGUCGAUAACCUCUCGGAGUUGGUUUAGCGAUUGCUAA
This 1026-nucleotide ribosomal RNA is filed under the name Triticum aestivum (bread wheat). Its description in RNAcentral is "partial small subunit ribosomal RNA". The record is from RNAcentral. Lineage: Eukaryota; Viridiplantae; Streptophyta; Magnoliopsida; Poales; Poaceae.